RNAcentral lists this ribosomal RNA (254 nucleotides) under uncultured bacterium. Its description in RNAcentral is "partial 16S ribosomal RNA". It matches the Rfam family "Bacterial small subunit ribosomal RNA", at positions 524 to 776 of the family's 1533-position model. The record is from RNAcentral.
CACGUAGGGGGCAAGCGUUAUCCGGAUUUACUGGGUGUAAAGGGAGCGUAGGUGGCAUGGUAAGCCAGAAGUGAAAACCCGGGGCUCAACCCCGCGGAUUGCUUUUGGAACUAUCAGGCUGGAGUGCUGGAGGGGUAAGCGGAAUUCCUAGUGUAGCGGUGAAAUGCGUAGAUAUUAGGAGGAACACCGGUGGCGAAGGCGGCUUACUGGACAGAAACUGACACUGAGGCUCGAAAGCGUGGGGAGCAAACAGG